This 423-nucleotide ribosomal RNA is filed under the name Staphylococcus aureus. Its description in RNAcentral is "bacterial SSU rRNA". It matches the Rfam family "Bacterial small subunit ribosomal RNA", at positions 399 to 814 of the family's 1533-position model. The record is from RNAcentral. Lineage: Bacteria; Bacillati; Bacillota; Bacilli; Caryophanales; Staphylococcaceae.
GCGUGAGUGAUGAAGGUCUUCGGAUCGUAAAACUCUGUUAUUAGGGAAGAACAUAUGUGUAAGUAACUGUGCACAUCUUGACGGUACCUAAUCAGAAAGCCACGGCUAACUACGUGCCAGCAGCCGCGGUAAUACGUAGGUGGCAAGCGUUAUCCGGAAUUAUUGGGCGUAAAGCGCGCGUAGGCGGUUUUUUAAGUCUGAUGUGAAAGCCCACGGCUCAACCGUGGAGGGUCAUUGGAAACUGGAAAACUUGAGUGCAGAAGAGGAAAGUGGAAUUCCAUGUGUAGCGGUGAAAUGCGCAGAGAUAUGGAGGAACACCAGUGGCGAAGGCGACUUUCUGGUCUGUAACUGACGCUGAUGUGCGAAAGCGUGGGGAUCAAACAGGAUUAGAUACCCUGGUAGUCCACGCCGUAAACGAUGAGU